This 504-nucleotide ribosomal RNA is filed under the name uncultured bacterium. RNAcentral's name for it is "partial 16S ribosomal RNA". It matches the Rfam family "Bacterial small subunit ribosomal RNA", at positions 30 to 523 of the family's 1533-position model. The record is from RNAcentral.
AUUGAACGCUGGCGGCAGGCCUAACACAUGCAAGUCGAGCGGUAGCACAGAGAGCUUGCUCUCGGGUGACGAGCGGCGGGCGGGUGAGUAAUGUCUGGGAAACUGCCUGAUGGAGGGGGAUAACUACUGGAAACGGUAGCUAAUACCGCAUAACGUCGCAAGACCAAAGUGGGGGACCUUCGGGCCUCAUGCCAUCAGAUGUGCCCAGAUGGGAUUAGCUAGUAGGUGGGGUAAUGGCUCACCUAGGCGACGAUCCCUAGCUGGUCUGAGAGGAUGACCAGCCACACUGGAACUGAGACACGGUCCAGACUCCUACGGGAGGCAGCAGUGGGGAAUAUUGCACAAUGGGCGCAAGCCUGAUGCAGCCAUGCCGCGUGUAUGAAGAAGGCCUUCGGGUUGUAAAGUACUUUCAGCGAGGAGGAAGGCGUUAAGGUUGAUAACCUUGGCGAUUGACGUUACUCGCAGAAGAAGCACCGGCUAACUCCGUGCCAGCCGCCGCCGUAA